This 117-nucleotide small RNA is filed under the name Macaca fascicularis (crab-eating macaque). RNAcentral's name for it is "Metazoan signal recognition particle RNA (ENSMFAG00000058485.1)". The record is from Rfam by way of RNAcentral. Lineage: Eukaryota; Metazoa; Chordata; Mammalia; Primates; Cercopithecidae.
GCUGGGCGUGGUGGCUCAUGCCUGUAAUCCCAGCACUUUGGGAGGCUGAGGUGGGUGGAUCACCUGAGGUCAGGAGUUCGAGACCAACCUGACCAACAUGGAGAAACCCCAUCUCUA